RNAcentral lists this long non-coding RNA (4076 nucleotides) under Rattus norvegicus (Norway rat). RNAcentral's name for it is "long non-coding RNA NONRATT004417". Lineage: Eukaryota; Metazoa; Chordata; Mammalia; Rodentia; Muridae. The record is from RNAcentral.
AGAGACAGUGAUUCCCGAAGGAGGGCCCAGCCAGGGGCUCCCCAAUAUUCCCAGGCCAUAAUGAUGGACCCACAGCCCCAACUUCACCUCAAAGACUGGAGCCUCCCCUCCAACUCCCAUGCUGUGCUUGUCACUCUGAGAACCAACUGAGGCUAGAACCCUGGGGUCCCAGCUGAGUUCCACAGGGGUGGCCAUCACACACCUGUGCCCCAGGUAUCCAAGGCCUGUCCUCUAGCGGGAUUGUCAUCUCCAGGACCAUGGAAGGGGAAGGGGGUGGUGUCUCUGUCUCCAAACAAUGUCAGGAUCAGGAUCGAGGACAGGAGGGAAAGUGAAGUUCGCAUCCUGUCCCACAACAUUUUUUAGUCCUCCCUACUUCUCCCUUUGCUUUGUAGGAGCCCACAUCUAUAUUUUUUUUCGUCUCCCACAAGAAUGGUGGAGUUUCUUCCCAACCCAAAUCUGGAGAGGUCAGAAUGGAACUACCUCAGUUGGCACAACCAGAUCAUAGCUCCCAUCAGUUUCAGAUUCCAGAUCUGGCAUUGACUGUAAAGUCUACCACAAAGUCCCAAUCUACCUUUCCCCCAACCUCUUUCUCAAGGAGGAAACUCCACACCUCAUCCAGACAGCCCUUUCCAGACUCAAUAGAGGAUAUUUUCCCAAGUCCUCAGACAGCUAGAUGCAUGAUCAAAGGCUUUGGGGGUGGAGCCCCACAAAGUCUUGUUUGACACAUGCCCCCGCCCCUCAUCACUAUGACAGCCUUGACCAGUAUGCUCUCCCGUGCUGACUACAGGCCAUGUGAGUCAGCGGUGGUAAUAUUCAGGUUUGGUUAUUCUCUAGAAUGGCUCUAGCUGUGGAUGUGCACAAUGGAGUAGGACCUGCUGUCCCCCUUACUGCCAUUGGUCCGUAGUGCAGAGUCUCAUGGCUGUAGGUGGUUGCCACCCAGGAAACGUAGGAACGUUGGGUCGUCACACAGUGAGUGGGGUUGGGGUGAAUUCUAGCUGGGAACUUGUGCGGGGUGGGGGGCAUUUUUCCUCGUCUUUCCCACAGAUGACUUUGUAUUUGACCUGUCUACCCAAAGGGCAGAAUCCCCUGAGCGCCACUCCCAUCUUGCCAUCUCACAUGCUUGUCGCGGAUAGCUUACUAAUCUUGGACCUUUGGGCAGCCCAUCCACAGAACCAUCUCUCAUGGUUGUUAGCAAGAUGCCUAAUACACUAAAGCAAACUAAGCACUGUCACUUUCCUUACUGAAACAUCUCAACCAUAAAAGCCACCAUGAGGACAUUUCACCAACCUGUGCUCAGCAUGGACCCCGUGACACCAGCCUCUGAUAUUAGGACAUUAUUUCUUGAUUUCCUUAUUAAAGAAAAUGGGUGCUAGUGGUAAUUUGCUUUGUGGCUUAGCAACCUAAUUUGUGAGUGAUGGUCAAGUUCCAAGUCUUGUCAUACACAGGGGUUUUGGGUAUCACAGUGUGGCUCAUGACUUUGUUCCCUUGCCACCUCGCUUAGGACAUUCAGAGUCCCCUGAGAUGUCACUUCCUCCAGCAUAACUGAAGUUGGCUGAUGUGAGCCGAUUCCGUGUGAGGCUAUUCUCUUUUUGUUGUCCCCUCACUUCCUUUUUAAUCUAUCCAUGUAUACAUUUUCCUUCUUUUGUCCCCUUCUUUCCAUUGAUCAUUCAUUUAGAGUUUUGUUAAAGACAAGCAAUCUGUGAUCUCUCAUCUGAAGACAGCCUACAGCUCUGUGAUGCAAAGAAACCCUCAGACGUUCUGUAUAGAUCCACCCCUUCCUGAGAUGCACUUGGCUCUCCCUCUCCGAUACCAGGCCCGUUUGAGUUCUCAGUGGUACCAGCUCUAUGUGGGUUCAUGUGCACCUGGUUUAUGUGCCUGUGUGCUGGUUCACAGGCAUCUGUUCAUUUUCAUACUCAUAAAUGCUCUCAGUAAAUGCUUGGAACUGGGUGCCGAGUGCCGGAACUAGCCAUGUGUCUAGGAGGGCACCCCCAGCUCGCUCCACCUCCGGUUGACCCUUCUGGACAGAGGAAACAAUACAUUUUCCACCCCACACACUGGGAUUCUUGAAGUAUUAACUGUGCUAAGAGAUCUUGGCACAGCAGUGGGAUCUGAGUCUCCUGACUACCAAAUCUCAGUUCACACCAAGCUCAAUUUCAGAAAUGGCUGCAGUUGGUUUCCGGUAUGUUUCCUUCUACUACAAAUAGGGAAGAUAAGAGCAUAGAGGAGGUGGGUGCCAGGAAGUGAUGCCCAGAACUGUGAUUGUGGUAGAGUCACGUGUCCCAACUACCCUCACUGUACCCAGGGGAUGAAACCAAGAAGAUGACGAUGUGCAAGAACCUGAAAGUGCAUACUGAGUUGAGUAUUCAAGCUGCUGUUGUGGUCCUUGGUCUCCAUGCAGUGCUGGAUACCCAACCAAGAGUCAUGUGUCUAGGCCAGUUGCUCUACCACUUAGCUAUUCCCAUCCCCGUUACCUUGCUUUUGUGAACACGCCAGUGCAUAGGUUCUGAGAGGAUCUGGCAGGGUUUAUUUAGAGUGGGCGAGCAUCCAUUGUCCAGGCUGAGAGCAGCAACAGCCCUUUCUACCUGCCCCCGACUAGGAGUGCCAAUGCACUUAAGCUUUGUCUGCAAAACCCUGAUUUUAAAAAAAAAAACUCUAAAAUGAAUGAUGUUCAAAAAUGGGUUAGUUGCCAUGGCAACCUCCAGGAAGAGAUACUUGUUACCCUUCAUUAUUUUCUAGUACCUUUGAACAGUCUCACAGUGCAGGGGCCAUUUGAAGGAUGUGAAUGGCAGCCCUAGGCUGUCUCUGCUAUGGGGGCCACCUUUCUACCUCCACACAAGACCCUGUUGACUCGGGAGGAUCUCUGCAAUGGUUGAUUAAUAGCUGAGGCAAAGUAUCCAAAUUUGUGACAGGGGUUUGUUUGUGUGCAAUCCCUCUGUGGAAUCCACCCAAUUAUGAGGGUAGUGGAUGGGUGCAUGAGAAUCGUGGUUCACCAAAGCCCCUUCAUGGAAAUACAAGCCAUAAAAUUCAAAAGGUGUCAAAAGACCUUGGCUUGUUUGGGGGUUUGUUCCCCAUCUGUGAGUAGACUUGACAAGAAGGAUUUAAACAGGAGUCUGAAGACCUGCUGUUACUAGGAAGCUAAGAAAGGCAUUUUACAGACUUGAAGUAGAGAAGCAGGUCAGCUCCUGAUGGCUUAGACUGAAGACCCCUUCAUUGCCAAAGUUGUUCCCAUGCCACAAAGCAUCUCUCCACCUCCCUUUUCAAGGUAAUUGAGGUGUGACUAAAAUACAGUACAACUCGCCCUUUCAAGGAAUGCAGUUCUAUGAACCUUACCAUGACUGGUCUUCUCAACCACAACCAAGAUAAGCAUAUCACCUUGUCAAUUCCUCUUUUCCCACCCCGGAUCUAGCAGCCAGUUCAAUGUUCUGUCCCUAUAAUUUUGCCUUUUUCUACAACACCAUGUAAAUGGAGUCACACUGAUACAACCUUCUGGAUCAGCCAUGUUGUGCGUGUCAGGAGAAGGUCCCCUUUCCCUGCUGAGUGUUCUAUCAAAUGAAUGGGCCCUAGGAUUUCCUUAGUUUUAAAAUGAGGUUUUUAUGCCUUGGAAGUCCUAGCCCCAGAUCUCCAGUUUGUAUAGCUGCUUCCAACCCACUGCUUCCUAUGAUCCUGGGGCUCCUUCCCCAGACACCAGCUAUGCCCUCAAGUUGGUGAUUCUAGUUCUGGGUCAAUGAAGAAAGCAGGAAGGGACAGCAACAGGACGUCACUCUCCACUGUUGCAGCAGUAAAUCUCUCAGUAUAAGAAGAUCCUCUCCCUCAGGGGGCUGUCACCUCAGUCCUUGGUGGCUUUGUAAUUUAUUGAACAUUGACCCUUGGGUAUAGCUUGACCCUUCCCCGAACUUGUUUUGCCAUCUGCCAUUUGAGGGUGCUUGUUCUAAAAGGCCUCUGAGUCUUUCAGCUCCCGUGUCCCCCUGCCCCCACGAUUGCCUAUUUGUUCUCUGUGCACAAGGUCAUACAUUAGCUGGGUCAUUCCCACAGCUGCGACCAGAAAUCCUCACAAUGGGCACUUUUCCAGGUAAACC